This 420-nucleotide ribosomal RNA is filed under the name uncultured bacterium. RNAcentral's name for it is "bacterial SSU rRNA". It matches the Rfam family "Bacterial small subunit ribosomal RNA", at positions 917 to 1341 of the family's 1533-position model. The record is from RNAcentral.
GGGCCCGCACAAGCGGUGGAGCAUGUGGUUUAAUUCGAUGCAACGCGAAGAACCUUACCAGGGCUUGACAUACUGCGAAUCUCCUUGAAAGAGGAGAGUGCCUUCGGGAAUGCAGAUACAGGUGGUGCAUGGCUGUCGUCAGCUCGUGUCGUGAGAUGUUGGGUUAAGUCCCGCAACGAGCGCAACCCUUGUUUUUAGUUACCAAUUCGUUGGGCUUUCUAGAAAGACUGCCGGUGACAAACCGGAGGAAGGUGAGGAUGACGUCAAGUCAGCAUGCCCCUUAUGUCCUGGGCUACACACGUGCUACAAUGGCUAGGACAAAGAGUCGCAAGUUUGCGAAAACAAGCUAAUCUCAUAAACCUAGCCUAAGUUCAGAUUGUAGGCUGCAACUCGCCUACAUGAAGUUGGAAUCGCUAGUAA